GAUAUGGCUCAGGAUGAACGCUAGCUACAGGCUUAACACAUGCAAGUCGAGGGGCAGCAUGAACUUAGCUUGCUAAGUUUGAUGGCGACCGGCGCACGGGUGAGUAACACGUAUCCAACCUUCCCGUUACUCUGGAAUAGCCUUUCGAAAGAAAGAUUAAUACCGGAUAGUAUCGAGAGAUUGCAUGAUUACCCGAUUAAAGAUUCAUCGGUAACGGAUGGGGAUGCGUUCCAUUAGG
Molecule: ribosomal RNA, 238 nt
Filed under: uncultured bacterium
Lineage: Bacteria
Description: partial 16S ribosomal RNA
Rfam family: Bacterial small subunit ribosomal RNA
Source: RNAcentral